This 253-nucleotide ribosomal RNA is filed under the name uncultured bacterium. RNAcentral describes it as "partial 16S ribosomal RNA". It matches the Rfam family "Bacterial small subunit ribosomal RNA", at positions 524 to 776 of the family's 1533-position model. The record is from RNAcentral.
GACAGAGGGGGCAAGCGUUGUCCGGAGUUACUGGGCGUAAAGGGCGCGCAGGCGGCCGCAUUUGUCAGGCGUGAAAGCCCCGGGCUUAACCUGGGAACCGCGUUUGAUACGGUGUGGCUAGAGUUCGGUAGGGGAGACUGGAAUUCCUGGUGUAGCGGUGAAAUGCGCAGAUAUCAGGAGGAACACCGGUGGCGAAGGCGGGUCUCUGGGCCGAUACUGACGCUGAGGAGCGAAAGCGUGGGGAGCGAACAGG